UAAGGUCUAACCUGCCCAAUGAGGAUUUAAAUGGCCGCAGUAUUUUGACUGUGCAAAGGUAGCAUAAUUAUUAGUUUUUUAAUUGAAAGCUUGUAUGAAGGGUUGGACGAAAUAAAGUCUGUCUUUAUUUAAAUUAAAAUAGAAUUUAACUUUUAAGUCAAAAGGCUUAAAUUUUAAUAAAAGACGAGAAGACCCUAUAGAUCUUUAUUUAAUUAAUAUUUUAAUAAUUUAGGAUUAAUUUAGUUUAAAUUAUUAGUUAAAUUUUAUUGGGGUAAUAUAAAGAUUAAUAUAAUUCUUUUUAUUUAUUACAUUGAUUUAUGAAUUUAUGAUCCAAUAUUGUUGAUUAAAAGAUUAAGUUACCUUAGGGAUAACAGCGUAAUUUUUUUGGAGAGCUCUUAUCGAUAAAAAAGUUUGCGACCUCGAUGUUGGAUUAAAAGUUAGCUUGGGUGCAGAAGCUCAAGAUUUUGGUCUGUUCGACCAUUAAAUUUUUACAUGAUCUGAGUUCAGACCGGCGUAAGCCAGGUCGGUUUCUAUCUUUAUUUAGUUAAAAUAUUUUAGUACGAAAGGACCAAAUAUUUGAUAUAUUUAUAUUUAUUUUUUGAACAAUUUUAUUACUUUGGCAGAAUAGUGCAAUGAAUUUAGAAUUCAUAAAUGUAAUCAUAUUACAAGUAAUACUUGUAUUUAGGAGAUUUAUUAUUAAUAUUAUUAUGUAUAUUAGUUCUUGUAAUUUGUGUAUUAGUAGGAGUGGCUUUUUUGACUUUAUUAGAACGUAAAGUUUUAGGUUAUAUUCAAAUUCGAAAGGANCCCAAUAAGGUUGGAUUUUAU
Molecule: ribosomal RNA, 825 nt
Filed under: Cylindera viridisticta
Lineage: Eukaryota; Metazoa; Arthropoda; Insecta; Coleoptera; Carabidae
Description: partial large subunit ribosomal RNA
Rfam family: Bacterial large subunit ribosomal RNA (bases 1-561)
Source: RNAcentral